Molecule: ribosomal RNA, 616 nt
Filed under: uncultured bacterium
Lineage: Bacteria
Description: bacterial SSU rRNA
Rfam family: Bacterial small subunit ribosomal RNA
Source: RNAcentral
CCUACGGGAGGCAGCAGUGGGGAAUUUUGGACAAUGGGCGCAAGCCUGAUCCAGCAAUGCCGCGUGAGUGAAGAAGGCCUUCGGGUUGUAAAGCUCUUUUGUCAGGGAAGAAACGGCAGUUUCUAAUACAGAUUGCUAAUGACGGUACCUGAAGAAUAAGCACCGGCUAACUACGUGCCAGCAGCCGCGGUAAUACGUAGGGUGCAAGCGUUAAUCGGAAUUACUGGGCGUAAAGCGUGCGCAGGCGGUUUUGUAAGUUUGUCGUGAAAUCCCCGGGCUCAACCUGGGAAUGGCGAUGAAGACUGCAAGGCUAGAAUCUGGCAGAGGGGGGUAGAAUUCCACGUGUAGCAGUGAAAUGCGUAGAGAUGUGGAGGAACACCGAUGGCGAAGGCAGCCCCCUGGGUCAAGAUUGACGCUCAUGCACGAAAGCGUGGGGAGCAAACAGGAUUAGAUACCCUGGUAGUCCACGCCCUAAACGAUGUCUACUAGUUGUCGGGUUUUAAUUAACUUGGUAACGCAGCUAACGCGUGAAGUAGACCGCCUGGGGAGUACGGUCGCAAGNUUAAAACUUCAAAGGAAUUGACGGCUUGNGAGNGCGAGCGACGACGAGGAGAGG